This 500-nucleotide ribosomal RNA is filed under the name uncultured bacterium. RNAcentral's name for it is "partial 16S ribosomal RNA". It matches the Rfam family "Bacterial small subunit ribosomal RNA", at positions 30 to 523 of the family's 1533-position model. The record is from RNAcentral.
AUUGAACGCUGGCGGCAUGCCUUACACAUGCAAGUCGAACGGCAGCGCGGGCUUCGGCCUGGCGGCGAGUGGCGAACGGGUGAGUAAUACAUCGGAACGUGCCCUAGAGUGGGGGAUAACUAGUCGAAAGAUUAGCUAAUACCGCAUACGAUCUCAGGAUGAAAGUGGGGGACCGCAAGGCCUCAUGCUCCUGGAGCGGCCGACGUCUGAUUAGCUUGUUGGUGGGGUAACGGCCCACCAAGGCGACGAUCAGUAGCUGGUCUGAGAGGACGGCCAGCCACACUGGGACUGAGACACGGCCCAGACUCCUACGGGAGGCAGCAGUGGGGAAUUUUGGACAAUGGGGGAAACCCUGAUCCAGCAAUGCCGCGUGUGUGAAGAAGGCCUUCGGGUUGUAAAGCACUUUUGUCAGGAACGAAACGGUGGGGGCUAAUACCUUCUGCUAAUGACGGUACCUGAAGAAUAAGCACCGGCUAACUACGUGCCAGCCGCCGCGGUAA